Chaetura pelagica (chimney swift) is the source of this 45-nucleotide non-coding RNA. The record is from Rfam. Lineage: Eukaryota; Metazoa; Chordata; Aves; Apodiformes; Apodidae.
CCAAAGGCUUUUUUUAAAGCCAAUCAUGAAUUAAGAAGGCAUUUA